UACGAAGGGUGCGAGCGUUGUUCGGAAUUAUUGGGCGUAAAGGGUUCGUAGGCGGGAGCACAAGUCAAGUGUGAAAACCCUGGGCUUAACCUGGGGCGUGCAUUUGAGACUGUGUUUCUUGAGUGACGGAGAGGGUACUGGAAUUGCUGGUGUAGGAGUGACAUCCGUAGAGAUCAGCAGGAACACCGGAGGCGAAGGCGAGUGCCUGGCCGUAUACUGACGCUGAGGAACGAAAGCGUGGGGAGCAAACAGG
Molecule: ribosomal RNA, 253 nt
Filed under: uncultured bacterium
Lineage: Bacteria
Description: partial 16S ribosomal RNA
Rfam family: Bacterial small subunit ribosomal RNA
Source: RNAcentral